GCCCCUGUAGUCUAACGGAUAGAAUACGCGGUUGCGGUCCGCGAGAUCGGGGUUCGAUUCCUCGCAGGGGCA
Molecule: transfer RNA, 72 nt
Filed under: Nitrosarchaeum sp.
Lineage: Archaea; Thermoproteati; Nitrososphaerota; Nitrososphaeria; Nitrosopumilales; Nitrosopumilaceae
Description: tRNA-Arg
Rfam family: tRNA
About the family: Transfer RNA (tRNA) molecules are approximately 80 nucleotides in length. Their secondary structure includes four short double-helical elements and three loops (D, anti-codon, and T loops).
Source: RNAcentral